GGGUGCGGAGCAAAGGGGGCGAGCGCUUCCCUCACGAGGAAGAGGCCGCAGGAGCGAAUCCUGCCGCACCCACCA
RNAcentral lists this transfer RNA (75 nucleotides) under Thermotoga petrophila. RNAcentral's name for it is "tRNA-Val". It matches the Rfam family "tRNA". From Rfam's summary of the family: Transfer RNA (tRNA) molecules are approximately 80 nucleotides in length. Their secondary structure includes four short double-helical elements and three loops (D, anti-codon, and T loops). Further hydrogen bonds mediate the characteristic L-shaped molecular structure. tRNAs have two regions of fundamental functional importance: the anti-codon, which is responsible for specific mRNA codon recognition, and the 3' end, to which the tRNAs corresponding amino acid is attached (by aminoacyl-tRNA synthetases). tRNAs cope with the degeneracy of the genetic code in two manners: having more than one tRNA (with a specific anti-codon) for a particular amino acid; and 'wobble' base-pairing, i.e. permitting non-standard base-pairing at the 3rd anti-codon position. The record is from RNAcentral. Lineage: Bacteria; Thermotogati; Thermotogota; Thermotogae; Thermotogales; Thermotogaceae.